Molecule: unclassified non-coding RNA, 346 nt
Filed under: soil metagenome
Description: partial contains 5.8S ribosomal RNA, internal transcribed spacer 2, and large subunit ribosomal RNA
Rfam family: 5.8S ribosomal RNA (bases 1-120)
Source: RNAcentral
GAUGAAGAACGUAGCGAAAUGCGAUACGUAAUGUGAAUUGCAGAAUUCAGUGAAUCAUCGAGUCUUUGAACGCACAUUGCGCCCCCUGGUAUUCCGGGGGGCAUGCCUGUCCGAGCGUCAUUGCUGCCCUCAAGCACGGCUUGUGUGUUGGGCCCCGUCCUCCGAUUCCGGGGGACGGGCCCGAAAGGCAGCGGCGGCACCGCGUCCGGUCCUCGAGCGUAUGGGGCUUUGUCACCCGCUCUGUAGGCCCGGCCGGCGCUUGCCGAUCAACCCAAAUUUUUAUCCAGGUUGACCUCGGAUCAGGUAGGGAUACCCGCUGAACUUAAGCAUAUCAAUAAGCGGAGGA